AUCCUGAUCCCUUACCCCUUAGAUCUAAAUAUUGGUCUUAGUAGCUGAAAAAGGAGGAACUUUAAAUUUGAAGCGGACUUGGAGUCUUUAAUGACAUAUCAAUUAAUGUCAAACAUAA
RNAcentral lists this small nucleolar RNA (118 nucleotides) under Echinops telfairi (small Madagascar hedgehog). Its description in RNAcentral is "Small nucleolar RNA SNORA61 (ENSETEG00000026484.1)". The record is from RNAcentral. Lineage: Eukaryota; Metazoa; Chordata; Mammalia; Afrosoricida; Tenrecidae.